This 818-nucleotide long non-coding RNA is filed under the name Gallus gallus (chicken). RNAcentral describes it as "lncRNA (ENSGALG00010010901.1)". Lineage: Eukaryota; Metazoa; Chordata; Aves; Galliformes; Phasianidae. The record is from RNAcentral.
AGGAGAGCGUGGGGUGGUGGGGAUGGGGGGUGAGGGGGGUUGGGGUGAGGAGGAGGGGUUUGUGUGGGGCGUGGGGGGAAUGGUGGUGGAUGGUGGGGAGUGUGGGAGAGAGGGGUGGAAGAGCAAAAGGGGGAAAUGAGGCCAAAAUGGGGGGAGAUGACCCCAAAUGGGGGGGAACACAAAAAGUUGGGAGAAUAACCCAAAAUGUGGGGGGGAAAAAACACAGAUUGUGGGGGAAAUGACCCAAAAUGGGAGGAAAUAACCCCAAAAGUUCCCCAAAAUACCCCACGUGGCCCCAACGGACCCCCAAAAUGCCCCCCAAAUGGCCAUCACUGCCAGGAACCGAUGGCUUCCGCUCUCCCACCCACCAGCAAAACCGGGUGAAAUUCCACCAAUUUUGGGCAAUUUGGGCCAAAACGGCUCCUGUCCAACCCCCGCAUCCCCCCCCCCCCCCAUAAAAAAGUGUUUAAAAAGGUGAAAUUGGGCCAAAAAAUGGCACUUUUGGGUGCGCUCCUCCCCUCCGCCUGUACAAAAGUUGCGCUUUUUUGUAAAAUAUCCCCAUUUUUACACACAAAAAAAAAACCCCAAAAUCGGCGUUUUUUGGUUUUUUUCGGUGUUUUUUUUUUUUUUUUCUUUUUCCUUUGGCAAAGCUUGAAGCGGAUUUUGGCUUUUUGGAGUUGUAAUAAAUUGUAAAUAGCGCCGCCCUUUUUGGGUCCAUUUCGGCUCCUUUUGGGGUCUGUGGCGGUGGGGGAAAGUGGUGGGUUUUGGCACGACGUUCCGGGUCCCUUUUUGGGGGGGUUUUGACCCCAAAAUCCAAC